AUAAGGCCAUAGCACUUGCUAAAGAGUCGAGGUCUCAUCAGAAAUUAAAGUACAUCAAGCGGCGGUAUCAUAUCAUACGUGACUACUUCGAAAAAAAAUAUGUCGAGGUGCGAAGAGUAGACUCUACAGAUAAUGUGGAAGACCCACUGACAAAACAAUAGAGCUAGCCGAAAAUGGAAGUCCACCUUGAGAAGAUGGGACUUAGAUUAGUGACCAAUUGACUUUAGUCCAAGUGAGAGAUUGUAAGAUGUAUGUCCUACAAGCCAAU
This 268-nucleotide long non-coding RNA is filed under the name Elaeis guineensis (African oil palm). RNAcentral describes it as "long non-coding RNA (EGUI_LNC060596)". The record is from RNAcentral. Lineage: Eukaryota; Viridiplantae; Streptophyta; Magnoliopsida; Arecales; Arecaceae.